Non-coding RNA from Drosophila virilis, 887 nucleotides. Lineage: Eukaryota; Metazoa; Arthropoda; Insecta; Diptera; Drosophilidae. The record is from RefSeq and is a predicted model, not a curated record.
UUUAAUCGCCAACGAGUACAGUCGGUUUAGAUUGCUUUAAAAAUUAUAAAAUUCAAUUUUUCACGUGGGCGUAAUAAACCCACGUGUAUCGGCACUCAAGCUCAAAAAAAAAAAAAAAAAAAAAAAAAAAAAAAAUAAUUAAAUAAAAGGGAAGGAAAAAAGGUCCAAGGUGCCCAGAAAGAAAAGGGAACAUUUUCAGAAUUCGGACACUGACAAAUAUUCACUAAAGGAUCGUUACUGGAGUCGUGGGGUGCCUUUCCUGUGUGUGGUAGUCGUAGGAAGGUGCAGGCUAAAGCGCGGGGCUGCGUUAUUGCGUGCCAAAAAGAAAAAUUACGCAUAACGCGUAGUCCUUAUCGGAGCCAAAGCCAAGGCCCCAAAGCUCCAAAAAGCGACAAUCUACACUGGUAGCAGGGAGCGAAUUUCCUAAGGGCGGACCAAGAUUUCAGCAUCGUCUCAUUUUCUGCAGAUAAGCUUUGAACCCCGCUAACCAAUAGUUCGUGCUGCACGCACAGGCAGACCAACGUGACCACGUGUUCGACCCAUUGAUUCCCGGACAUUCUUGAGCGCAGAUCUGGUGGAUAGCGAACCAGCGCGCACCCUCACUCGGAUUUAUAACAUCUGAUAUAAUUGUUAAACGGCAUACUGGCCGUAGCAUGUAUAUGUCGCUGACUACUAUAUUUCUACGUUACAUAGUUCAAAUUAAGAGCCCACAGCACAUCAUCGUCGUCAACAGGCCUGCUGACAUCGUUGGAUCAUACUAAAGUAGGAGCAAAAGAACCCACGCCCCUUCCCUGAGCACGGUCGGAACCCGUAGACGGAGUACGCUCCCAAUGCACAACACGAGUGUUAGGCAAGACGCGCCCAGCGUAGCCGUCGUGUUCGUUACA